CCUCCUUAAACGAAAAUCCUUACAGUUAGUAAGUGUCUACACGCAUUGCUUGAUUAUAAAUGGUAACAGUAAAGUACGGUAUGCCGGCCGGGCUGCUAUGACCCGUCGCACCAGAAUUGGGUCUGUAGCUCAGUUGGUUAGAGCGCACCCCUGAUAAGGGUGAGGUCGGUAGUUCAAGUCUACCCAGGCCCACCAUAUCUUAAUCUUUUGAAUCAUUGAUUCGGAAAGAGUCUGUUCAUUAACAUUGUAAAGAGAAAUAUUUUGAUCAUAUCAUAUACAUGCUUAUUAUUUGUAUUAUGAGUGGUGCCUGCACGGGCACAGUUAGUUCUUUAACUUUCAAAAUAUAAGUAGAAUAGAUUAUAAAUUUUAUAAUCAAAAUGGUCUUUUUGUGAUGUUUAUUAAAUCCUUACAACCGAUUUAAUAGAUGUCAAAAAAGUGAAUAACCGUUGUAAUAUGUAUUAAUUCAUUACGUAUUAUGACAAAAUCGUAUUUU
RNAcentral lists this unclassified non-coding RNA (493 nucleotides) under uncultured Alphaproteobacteria bacterium. RNAcentral describes it as "partial 16S-23S ribosomal RNA intergenic spacer". The stretch from base 119 to 192 matches the Rfam family "tRNA". The record is from RNAcentral. Lineage: Bacteria; Pseudomonadati; Pseudomonadota; Alphaproteobacteria.